GGAGUGCCUGAGCUGUGGCACUCC
RNAcentral lists this unclassified non-coding RNA (24 nucleotides) under synthetic construct. The record is from RNAcentral.